GCCGCUGCAGUCGGGUCACGUGAGGGAGACACCGCCCAGCCGCCUCAGCCUAAACUAGCGAAGAGGCAGGUGACGCGGACUGCCUCCUCCCUGCCGCUGUUCCUGGCCGCCGCUCGCCACGGAGCGGCAGGCGAAUGGGCAAGCCAUCACACCUAUCGUAAGGCACGAAGGCUCCGCAAGCCAGAAUACCGUAGCUUUGGUUUCUGGCAACCGGAGGAGUCUGGAAGGAACGCUGGACAGGGAGCUAGGAGUCCUGGCUCCUUCCUGGGAGUGUUGUUGGAGUAGUCACUGGACUCAGAGCCCCAGAGCCCUGUCUGAAAAGUAACUCCCGCCUUGCUUUCAUCCUAAGGUGUUGUAAGAAUUACUGGAGUCACCCACGACGGCGUCUCUCAUCCCCACUGCCAGCUCCUCCGGGCGGGGCUGUCUGACUCCUGGCUUGUCAACCCAGUGCUCGGCAGAAAGGAUGCUUUGGAGCUGUUUAUGGAAAUAAAGUACUGGUGCAGAGCAGAGCCUCUAAAAGGGAUGGUCUGGUUACUUGGGGAAAGAAACAUGGGAAUGUUGCCAAUGGAAGUUUGGUUACGUGCCCUCUGCUUCCCCCAAAGUACUUUCUAGAAAGUUGUCCACCAGCCCUGUGUCCACAAAAACAGCUUUAUGCAAGCUGUCAGCGGAGUCUCAGCUACUGUGAGUGGCUCUGCCCAGAUAAGGUCACCUUUGGUCAUCCCUUAACAAGAGGUCAGUGACCUUCCUCUCUCUGCAGCUGACAUUUCCCAGACCCUUGCAACCUUCUGGGCCUCUCUCUGCCACUCCCCUUUACACCCCUAGGCCCUAGCCACACAGCUGGUCACUUUGGAUGCCCUUCCCUGGACUUUAGUGUCCUUUUACACACUCCCAAACUACGUAAGUUUUGUCCUCUGUGCCUAGAAGACCCUGCUUGGUUCAUGACAAAGUCCGGUUUAUCCUUCACUGCUCAGCUCAAACAGAGGCUUCUCUUUGCCCUUUCCCUGACCCAGACCUUGACCCUGCCACAUCCAUGCUGCAGGGCCCCACCUGAGCGGCCAAGCCCAGCCACUCUCUUCCCCCAAGGAGUCCUUUACCUGUUUUCAGCCUUUCUCUCCCCCUGGCUAGUCUGUGAACCUUGGGACAUGGUGCCUUUCUUCACUCGUUUCCAAACCCACAAUGACCUAACAACUCACAUGUGCCUGUAUAUAUAACACACAUUAACCAGAUAGAGGUCUUACCCUACAAGCCUGUGUGAUUAUUCUGUUCUGUUCAUUUUAAUACUGGUGGGGCCUCACUCAGUCAGUGAUUCUGACCCCUGUUGCACAUUAGAAUCAUCUGGGGAUAUUUAAGAACAAAAAAACCCUAGACCUGGGUCUAUCCUCAGAGAUUCUGAUUUAAUUGGUCUGCAGUGGUUCUUGGACAUUAGUAUGUUUUCAAAGCUCCCCAGGUGUGCUGAGAUUGAGAACAAUAGCACUAAAUCCUUGCUUCCCAAAUGUGCUGAAGAUAAGAAACACAUGAACUUGGCCAACUGCGUAUGGUCCCCAGGCCUGCAGCAUCGGCAUCACCUGGGAGCUUGUUAGAAAUGCAGAAUCCUGGCCUGCCCCAGACCUGCUGAAUCAGGAUCUGUCUGUAUUUAACAAAAUCACCAGGUGAUUUUUAUGCAUGUUACAGCUUGAAAAGCAUUGACAUAGAUUCUAGGUUUUAGAAGGUUGGUGUGGUGCAGCGCCUUACUUAAUACGGCCCUUUAACCCAUAGUCUUCGUAACUCUAACCAAAUGGCUGGGUGGGACUAUACAAAUGAGGUGCUUUUGGCCCACUAAGGGGCUUGGAUAGCUUGCUAACAAUUUAAAGAAUGUGCAUGGUGGGACCAGGCAAAUAAGGAUAUACCUUAUUUGUUAACCUAUGAUUGUUAAGGUUGUGUGUCAACUUGGAUGGGCCAUGAUUUUCAGUGGUUUGGCAGUUACGAUGUUUGGCAGUUGUAUGAUGAUGUGAUCACUUCCAUGAUGAAAUUUAAUAUAAUGUGAUCACCUCCAUGUUGGAAUCUGCUCUGAGCCAGUCAGUUGAAAAAGAGUUUCCUUGGGGGUGUGGCCUGCAUCCAAUGUAGGUGGAUUCACUGGCAAGUCUCGUGGGCUCUUGCUUGCUUUUCAUCCUUCGGCUGGCUCCUGUUCAUCUGAUUUCUGGUUCUUGGGACUUGAGCUAGCAGCUUACCUGCUGUCUUGCCUGCCGAUCUUGGGAUUCGUCAGUCUUCACAGUCUGUGUGCCAGAACCCUGCUGUCUAACCUGCUGAUCCUGAGUUCUGUAGGCCCUGUGGCUACAUGAAUCAGGAGAAGCCUCCAGCCUGACCCAGGGACCUGGGGCAUUCUAGCCUCUACAACUGCAUGAGUCAUUUCCUUGACAUAAAUCUCUCUAUAUAUUUAUACACUUUAUUGGUUUUGUUUCUCUGGAGAACCCACCCUAAGACAGAACCUUAAAGAGGAGAUUGGCCUGUUUUACCAUCCCACUAGGCUUAAAGGGAGACACUGAGAGAGUGUAGGAGCUAUAACAUCAGAGAUGAUAAAAAUUAGCGACAGAGAAACGGUGGCAGCAGAACCAAGAGAUCAGCAGGAGACUUGCUGGCAGGAGACAGUGUGGUGGGCUUCCUGGCCUAUAGAGUGAGAAAGCUGAGUUCCUUUGGGUGGGAAGCUUGGUGGCAGAGUAGGUGGCCUCUGGGCACUUGAGCGAGCUAGGUUUGCUGUCCCACGGAGGUAGAGCUGAGCACCUUCCGGCUGAGGCCUAUUGGUGGAGUGGGGUACCUCUGGGCACUUAUCAGCAGAGCUGAAAGAGCUUUGUAACACUUAACCAAGCAGGGCAGAGGCCUGGCUGAGUUGCUGAGGGCCAGGGAGAGGCCUGCCUGCAGGCACAGCUGAGAAGAGGCUGUCCUGAUCAAAGAAUUAUAUCCUGAGCGUUCCUGAACCUGUGUUACUUCCCUAAUAAACCCCAUAAUCGUGAGCAUUGUCUGUGAGUUCUUUGUGGUCAUUGCAAUGAGUUAUCGAACUCAGCAGAGAAUUAGAGUGCCCUGUGGAAGGGAUGAUUGGUGUCAGAAUUAAUGAAGAUGGCAAAGAGAGGAGAUGUGUCUGACCUCUGCCUCAUAGGAAUCAGCCUUGGGAUGUUGAUCUUGAUUCUCCUUCUCCCUUGUGAAAUUAAAUGAGGUCAGAUGCCUCCACCACGCCAUUUUAACAGUUGGUUAAAAAAAUAGAUCUCCAAGUCAUUGCUUAGGAAGCACUGAGUUCCUUUUAACGGUGGUGGAACACUUUGGGAAAGGAAAACGGUAAUGGUUGCACUGCCUGUGAAAGCUGGACAAUGAAUAAGGAAGACCGAAGAAAAAUAGAUGCCUCUGAAUUGUGGUGUUGGCGAAGAAUAUUGAACAUACCAUGGACUGCCAGAAGAACGAACAAAUCUGUCCUGGAAGAAGUACAGCCAGAAUGCUCCUUAGAAGCAAGGAUGGCAAGACUUUGUCUCAUGUACUUGGGACAUGUUACCAGGAGGGACCAGUUCCUGGAGAAGGACGUGGUAAAGUGGAGGGUCAGCGAAAAAGACAAAGACCCUCAAUGAGAUGGAUUAACACAGUGGCUAUAACAAUAGGCUCAAACAAUGAUUGGGAGGAUGGUGCAGGGCUGGGUAACAUUUCGUUCUGUACGCAUAGGGUUGCUAUGAGUUGGAACUGACUUGAAAGCACCUAACAACCGUAGUUACACAAUAUGAUGAACUUAAUUAUACAAGUAAAAAUCAUUGAAUUGGCAAAUGUUUUGUUAUAUUUUUACUUUGUUGUUGUUUUACCCUAUGUGUUACAGAGUAGAACUGCUCCAUAGGGUUUUCUUGGCUGUGAUCUUAAUGGAAGCAGAUCACCAGGUCUUUUCUGCAGUACCACUGGGUGGGUUUGAAUCGCCAACCUUUAGGUUAGCAGUCAAGCGCAAACCAUUUGUGCCACCUAAGGACCUAUAUUUUUACUACAAUAAUAAUUAAAAAAAAAAAAACUCCCCAGUCCUAACUCAGAUCUACUACUAAAUCAGAAUUUCCCAGGGAGAGGCCAGUCGACCUAUAUGGAUUAACACAGACCCCAGGUGAUUCUUCUUAAGCAGUUUUGUGAAACAACAGCUCUACCUGAUAAUCAGACCCAUAAUAGUGACCUAAAGUUUAAACACAGGGGCCUGCAGGGUUCAGGAAUGUGUGAGUGGAUGAGCCUUCCGCCCAGGGGGAAGUGGGAGCCCAGGCCUAGGAGAGAUGGUACAAACUGUGUGAGUGGAUGAGCCUUCCGCCCAGAGGGGAAGUGGGAGCCCAGGCCUAGGAGAGAUGGUACAAACUGUGUGAGUGGAUGAGCCUUCCGCCCAGAGGGGAAGUGGGAGCCCAGGCCUAGGAGAGAUGAUACAAACUGUGUGAGUGGAUGAGCCUUCUGCCCAGGGGGGAAGUGGGAGCCCAGGCCUAGGAGAGAUGGUACAAACUGUGUGAGUGGAUGAGCUUUCAGCCCAGGGGGGAAGUGGGAGCCCAGGCCUAGGAGAGAUGGUACAAACUGUGUGAGUGGAUGAGCUUUCAGCCCAGGGGGGAAGUGGGAGCCCAGGCCUAGGGAGCCCAGGCCUAGGAGAGAUGGUACAAACCAAGAGGUGUGAGGUUCGUAGGAGCAGGGAAUUGCAAUCAGGUGCAAAUCAUGUAUGUUCCAUGACACUGUGACAGAUGGGCACAGCAGGGUCAUCACCCCCAGUCUGCAGAGCCUGUGGCAAGCUCUGCUCCUCAGUGAAGGGUCAUUUCAUCAGAGAAUUACCUCGACGCCUCUGAGAAGGAGGAGGCGCGCUUGCUUAGGCCACUAGAAAGAAAACGGUAUGUGCGUUAAAUGAAAAAUUUAAAACCCCAUUGAGUAAACAUGCACCUACCCACCCUGGGGAGAUCACAAGUCUGCAUCGACUUAGAGGGGACUCUCUAAUGGCUUAAAUGAAGCACUGGCAACCCCAUGUGUGUCAGAGUGGAACUGUGCUCCAUAGGGUUUUCAGUGGCUGAUUUUUCAGAAGUAGAUUGACAGGCCUUUCUUCCAAGGUGCCUCUGGGUGUGCUUGAACCCCCAACCUUUCAGCUAGCAGCAGCACUCAUACCGUUUGCACCACCCAUAGACUCCAAGAAAACAGUAGGAAGAGUUAAAAGCUCUGCUCUGGGAGGCCCCAGUGCUUGGUAUAGCUGGACAGGGGCAUGUAAGGAAGAGAGGACUCACUACAGAGUGGAGCUGCAGGUGUGAGUCACAGCUCAGGCAGCCAGGGCCAUGUGACCCUGGCCAAGUCACUCUUCUCUGUGUGAGUCUAGCUUCACGAUUCUUACUAGUCUGUGACUGGGGGUGAUGUGCAGUGGGGGGUGCCAUUUAUUUUAUAAGGAGGUUAAGGAAAGUAACUCACACAAGUUAAGGUGAGAUUUUCACACUGGUUCUUUUUAAAACACCCAGCAAGAGAAGUGGGCAGUGAUGGUGGCAACAGCUUAGAGCCAGAGGCGGAAGCAACGGUCCUCUGUUUCCAGGCCGUGGGUGUGGAAUGGCCCCCAGGGCUACACACCGACAUCACUGUCUUGACAGGCAUGGGUGAGGUGGGCAGCUGCCAGGCUGAGAAGAGCCGCACACCUUCCUGAAGUCACUCCUGCCUCUCUGGUCGUGCUGUUUAUGUUUAUUCCUCCCAUACACACCUGUUUAAACUCCUCGACCAGGCUAUGCCGAGGGGACAGGAAGGUAAUGAAGCUCAGAGACCAAGACAAAGCUGGGACCAUCCCUUCCUCCUGGGAUCAAGCACUGGCACUCUGCUGUUCUCUGGACCUUGGGUCUUCCUUGCCUCACUGGGCUUCUGCCCUUGCCCCCACUGCAUUGUGGGCAGGGCCCACGCAGGUUCCGCCCGCACAGAGCCUGACCCGCCUCUCUGUGGCCGGAAGACCUUAAAUGCUUCCCCAGCCCAAGACUGGAACAACCCUUCGGCUUCACACAGAGGCCAGGAAUGGCUGACAGUCCAUGAGAAGCCCACUGCGCAGAUGAGAAAACUAAGGACCAGAGGGAGAAGCAACUUCCCAGGCCAGAGCACAAGGACACCAGGGCUUUCCCAAGUCCUUUCCACCUCUGUGAUAUAGGGGGAGAAGGGAUGGGGGAAGCGUGGCACCAAGGCUUCUGCCACCGUGGAGAUGUUCUAGGAGUCGAGGAAGCUGGGGUGAAGGGGCACACGAGGUCACAUGGCCACGCCCCAACACCUGGAUCCUGCCCACUGCCUCCUGAAACAGCUUCCCUGUGACAAGCUAAAGACACAUAUGCCAAGUUAAUGCAAACAAAUGUCUAAAUGUAAAUACUGCUAAGCCAAACGACUUGAUUUAUAGCCAAAUAAUGAGGCUUUCAAUAAACGCAUCAGCAGCGAUUAGCCUUCCGAAGGCACAUGGGCAUUUCUCAAGCUCUAAGUUGGAGGCCCAGGGUGAAGGCCUUAAAUAAAUCAUGAUAAAAAGCCACCUCCAGGUAGGAGGAGAGCUGGCAGAUUCUUGUCCUGGUGAACAUGGAGAAGCAUAAGGCUUCUCUUAUGCCACACAGAAUAGCAGGUAGGUCAAAAUAAACCCAUUUUGGGCAAUUUUCUCAGGAGAAAACAGUGUCAAACAAGAGGUUUCUAAUGAUCGGGGCUGAGAGCAGAGGAAGUGAACCUCCCAUCACUGGAGGUAUGUAAGCUAGACGCUGCUGGAUGAUUUGCAGCCCCUCCCUCCCCGCAUUGGUGUUCCCAUCAGCCCUCAGGCUCAGCCAGCUGGGGAUGAAAAUGGCAAGCAGGGGUCGAGUCGGGGAUGGGGUGAAGUUUGAAAUGCUAUCAGAGCUUCAGGUAUGGGAAAGAGGGUCUAGGGGUUUUUAUCUCUAACCGAGGGCCUCUCUAAGAACACAAAGUCCCGUGUAUGCCUGGGACAGAUGGGGCUGGUGGUGGUAGCUGGAUGAGACCAAGCCCUGGAUGGAAGUCAGAUGCCUGGGUUUGAACUCUGACCCCACUGAUGUCAUUGGCUGGGUUAAGUCCUCUCUUACUGUGCCUCAGUGUCCCCAUCUGAAGAAGGGGGAGGGGUCCGAACAGAGCUGAAGUUCUCAAGUGAGGGGCAUCUCAGGGUGGUGGAGGCCACCCCAGCACCAGCCACAGUUACAAGGGACGGCAGGAUGGUUCUGUCUCAGGGACGGGGAAAGGCAGACUCAGCACUGUGCACCGGGGGUCCCAGGGCUCAGGGAUGGCAUAAGGCAGGCUUCCUAAUGGCUGUCCAUGGGGAUGGGCCAAGGGUGGUCCCUUCUACUCAGCACCUGCCCCUCCCAGCCCGCUUGCUCCUUGGAGCCAUGGUUCUCAAUCAGGGGUGAUUCUUCCACUCCAUCGCCACCGGGCAAUGUCUGGAGACACGGGUGCUGCUGCAAUCUAAUGGGGAGAGGCAGGAAAGCCCUACAGGAAAGAAUGAGCCUGCCUACAAUGUCCACAGACCACUCAUGGUCACCUGUGCCUCGAAUUCUUCAUUUAUGAAACCGAGUAAUGACUGAGGCUGCUGUCACAGUGGCCAUGAGGAGUAACGAGAACCUCCGGGGAAGUGUGAGGCAGGACAGGUGUUAGGUCACCUUGCCCCUUAUCUAAGGGCUUAAGACACAGCACAGAGUUUGCUAAACAGUCACUGGCUCCAGGCUGUUUCCAAGGACCAGCCCCCAACCCCCACCCAGCAGAUCAGGGGAACAAUAGGUGACAUUUGAAGGAAGCUCUGGAAUAGGGACCAUGCAGGUGCUGGGCGGCAGCAGCCUUGGGAUAAGGCCCAGUUGCUGAGGAGGUGCCUUAACAGGCAAAGGGCAGUUGGAGUCAACUCAAGUAAAGCUGGAUGGUGAGACGGAGGCCCAGUAGGCAGGGAAGGUGACAUGCGGACAGUGCCGCAAGAAACAGGGGCAAAGCAGCCACUGCCUGAGCCUCAGCACACUUGGGGAGGGUGGUGGAAACAACCAAGGACUUAGGGUCACCCAGACUUUGGUUGGAGUCCCCACUCUGCCACUUCUGAGCUGUGGUCCUCUCUAAGUCUCAGUUUCUUCCUUUGUGAAAUGCAGCUUUUAGCAGCCACCCAAAAGGGUUGUCCUGAGGCCUGGACAGUGGAUCUGCAAGUCUUGGAGGUGCCGCGGUGCCACGGAUGCCUGCAGACACCCCUGGAGGUCCGCUGCUGAAAAGCCUCACUCCUCGGCAGCCCCCUCAGAUAAGCAUGCAGUGCAACAAGGGGCUCCGGUCAGACUUCAGCUCAGGAGGCAACUUUUUCUUCUUUUUCUUUUUUUAACGAAGAGUAGGGCCUUUCUGAAAACACUGAUGCAAAUGCAGGGCUCAGGGCUUAGGGCUCACAUGGGCUUCAUUUUCACCUCUCCUCAGUAGCCUCCUUACAAAUGCUGCCCAGCUGGUUUGUCUUGCUGGCUGCCCCCUGACCGGGCUGCACCGAGUCUCCCUCUCCAGCUGCCCUGGCCUGCGGUCCAUGGCCCUACUGGCAGCCCAGAAGCCGAGGAUGGCCAGGCAGCUCCCGCCUGCUGGACCAGCUCCUCAGUGGGCAGCAUGCAUGGCUGGGUCUGUCGCCAGGUGACACUGGCCAGGUGUUUAUUUCUAUGGGAUCAGUUAUCUCCAACCAUCAAGCAGCGUUUCAGGACACUUGCAAAACAUGUUGUCAUACAUGGAGAUCAACAUGAAAACAACGAGGGAAGGGGCUUCUCUGCUAACAAAUACUGGUCACAGAUGGUCUGAGGCAUUUAUUAAGUGCCUACUGUGUGCAUCACUCUGUAGCCAACUUUUCUGAGGGAGACAAGAAGCCGACCAGAGGCUUUUGAGACCUUUUGGUCCCCUGUCCUCAUUUUGGAGACAAGGACAUAGAGGCCCAGACAAGAGCAGAGGUGUGGAAUGAAUGGGGGGCCAGGAUGCCCCUGUCCCCUCAGUUGUAGGGGGGUUUUCUCUGGCACUACUAGUGGACUCAGAGCCAGCAGUGAUGGUGGUGUGACGGGGCAGGAAGAGAGAGGAAGGCAGCCAUCCCCCACUGCCCAACUCUCCUCAGAAUCGGUCAUGGCCAAAUCACCCUGUGCACCCCCGCCAUCAAAACGUGAAGCUCACCUGCACCAUCCUCCCAGCCAACUACCACUCUUCAGGCUCCCCCAUAACUGACCAGGGUAUUCAUCAGCACAGCAACCAAAGAGGCUCACCACCCACAGAGCACCCCACCCAACGGUUUUAAUUAAAAAAAUAAAAUAAAAUAAGAGGAAAGAAGAAAAUCCAGAGAGGCCUUUUAGAACUACAAGUUAAAACAGAUCUACCCGCUCAGCUGCCCUGCGUCUAACCUGAGGGUGGUUUUCUUGUCCCUGGAAUUUCAAAGGUGCACGGUUGACUGCAAGCCGCCCAGACACCCUGGCCAAGGCCUUUUAUUAACCAUCUGAGUAUCAGUGGUGCCCUGUGGAAAAGCCCCACCCGUCCUUGGGGACCUGGGCCUCGCUUCUUCAUCUGUGACAUGAGGAAUAGUCUACAAUGCUCCCCAAAGCCCACUGGAAGCAAAAAAAAAGCUCUGAAGCAGACAUCAGGGACCUGAGUCCCACCCUGGUUCCAGCCCUUCAUUUCCCUGUCUGUAGAAAGAGGGACAGGACUAGAUGCUUCCUAAGGUCUCGGCCAUCUCUAAGUCUUUAUGGAAAGCUUGGCACACAGGAGACAUUCACACCACCUGCUGAGGAGUGGCUAUUCCCAUACUGAACAAAAGGAAUCAGCCCCAGAGAUGAAGAGGAGUGCAGGUUUCCCCAAGUGUACCCCAACGCCUGUACCAGAAUUCCCAGGGGCCUGAUAAGCCCAGAGCUCCUGGGCCUCUUUGGAACCAGAAUUUCCUUCUAACAUGCUCUCUAAGAGACUCUGACACAUUCAAGUUUGAGAACCACCGUCCUAGUUCCAGCUGAUGAUGGAAACUGUUAUUUUCAACAUUUUAGUGUCCAGCUUUUGUUGCUUACCCCCAGUGCUGGGGAGCUCACUCCCCACCACAACAACCCCUUCCAAUUUUAGACAGCUCUGCCUGUGGGAAAGUUCUUUCACAUUCUGAGCUGUAAUCUCACUUGCCACAGUUUACUGAUGGCAGUCCAGCUGAGACCUGGCUCCUGCAGGCCACAACUACCCCUUUUGGCCUGGGAAGGGGCCUCAGAGACAGGAAGACAGGCAUAGUAGCAGAGAGAGGCUUCUCCUCCCCACUUGUGCUCGCAGGGCAGAAUCUCCUGUCCUCCCCCAUCCUGGUCAGCCCCUCUGCUCAUACCCCUGGCAGUCACUGGCUCUCAUACAGUAGGGGCUGAACUGGACAGUGUGCCCUGAGGGCUUGUCCAGCUCUGCGUCCAGCAGGGCCAUCAGCCCUGUGAUCUGAAUCUCUGCUGACCUCCUGGUCCACCUCUGUCUUCCACCUCCCUCCCAAGUCUCCAAGAACAGGAUCUUAUUGACAUGCAAGUGUCACCAGACAUGUACAACACCAACUUCUUGAUUAGAACCAAAAGGGGAGCCGGUCCAACGACAUUAAGAAGCAAAACCCCUCUGGGUCUGGCCACACUUUGGAGGUUUGGAAAUGCAGUUUUGAAAGGUCACUGUCAGCCCUUAGUCAUUGGGCUCGUGUUGGGCAUUUAUUCCGGCAGCCUCUUGACAACCUCUUUCCACAGGGUGGAAGAUUUUCCCAAAAUUAAAUCUCUGGCUCUUUGCUCCCUAAUGAAAUUGAUUUCUGCUCUGAUACACAACAAAGCUUUCAUUUCAUUAUUUGGCUAGGGUUUGACCACAUUAAUUACAGAUUUUUUCAGCAUGGCUGCAAGUAAUUUAGUUCCAGAAAGUUACUUACUAUCAGAACUGACUGCUUUUUAAAAACGCGGCACCAGAAAAGAGUCAAACGGUCAACUCUAGCUUCUUCAUAGGAGAUUUUUUUUGGUUCAGGUUGGAACAAUCCAGGACAGGAAAAAGUAUUUUCCUAUCCUGAAGCUUUGAACCCAAAAAGAGAUUAUGCUAAUCUUUGUGGAGACUCUGAAUCUGAAGUUGAGGCGUCGGAGGAGCCCGCCGUCCCACGCGUUUGCUGUCUGGGCGUUUUACCGUUGCAUGUGUCAGAACUCACAUACGGCCCCAAGUCUGUAAUCAGCGUUUUGGCACAAAUUAUAUCUGCCUCGGGAGAUACUCAGCAGGACCGAGGACUGCAAAAGCCCACCUGGCACUCUGUAAUGUGUUCUCCCUGGGAGGCUGUGCUUGGCUGGGUGGGGCACACACUUUGAGUGUCAGGCUGAAAUCCUAGGCACACUGCUCACUUUUUGCAAGCUGGGGGGGGUGGCAGGGCAUCGUGGAGAGAUGUAGGGAAGGUGGGGUGUUGGCGUGGCCGCAGGCCAGGCCCUCACCUCUCUGAGCCCCGUCCCUGAGGGUGAAGUGGGGAGCAAAGAGGAGCUGCAGAGAGCUGACCAAGGCAGCAGGGAUUACAAAGCAUGUCUCCAUUCACAAUCUCAUUUAUGCUUCACAAUGAUCCUGUCAGUCAUUACAUACUAAUAGUUAUACCGUUAGUAUCCCCAUUGUAGAGAUGCAGAAACUGAGGCACACAGCUAGAGAGAGGCAGAAUUGGGAUUUGAAGCAGGUAUUCUGGCUCCAGGCAGUCCACCCUUCUAGUCAUGACCUUGUAUGGUCUCUCUCUACUGAUCACCCCCAUUUAGAUAUGAAAAGCAGAGCCAAGGUCAUAACACCACAGUCGACAAGCAUCUUACUCUGACUCAUUAAAGAAAGAAAAUCUCUAUUAUAAAGGAGGUUCACUGUGGAAAAUUUAGAAAACAAGCAAAAGGAGACAAAAAUCACCUGUCAUUUCACCACCCACAGACAGCUGUGAAUCACAAUUUGGCAUAGUGCCUUCCAGUAUUUUUCCUAUACACAUGUGUAUGUAUUUAAUACAUAGUUACAGAACAAGACUGAAUUUUUUAACUAGAUUUUAUUACAAUCAUAUCUCAUUUUGAAUGUCCUGUGUGAUUAUACUUCUCUUGUAUAAAAUCCUCAAAUGUUUCCUGAGUACCUACUAUGUGCCAAGCCCUCUGGGGAUUGGAAUGACAUACGCUCAAAGAAAUCCCUAGUCACAAAAGGUAUGUAGUAGGUGCUAAAUCAUUUCAGACCACAGCCCUGAAGAUCAAGGUCAACAGCCUUGGCUGUUGGAGGGCAAAUUUAAAAAGUAAGGUUGCUGAGUUUAUGCACCCUGGUGUUUGCCUAGACACUAAAACUGGGUGAUAUUUUAUAAAAUAGAAGAGAAGGGCCCUAUCAAUGCCAAGAAAAAAACCAAACAGUUGGUCACUCCAGCCAAGAGUAGGCUUAUGUGGAGGGGACAACUGAAAACUCAAGUUGGGACCAUCAGGAGAGGGGACCCAGAAGAGGCCUCCCCUCUAAUCCUAAACCCAACCAUUUUUGUGUUUCCCUGUAGCUUCCCUAAUAAAUUAUUUCCCAGGUUUUCUCCUCUCACAAUCUUAUCCUUCAAGGCUCUGCUCAAGUGACACCUCUUCCAGGAAGCCUUCCAAGAUGCCUGCACUCAGGCUUCCUUCCUUCCAUCACAGCAAUCAUCUACCUGCUUGUCUCUUUGUCCAGACUGGAGGCUUGGGGUCUGAUGAGCCUUCAUCUCCCCACCCAGUUGAGGGCCUGGCACACAGUAGGAACAAAGCAGCAAUAGCCACACUGCUGACUUGUUUGGAGGUCUGGCCCUGAGAAGUCUGUGCUGAGAAUGUGGCAGGCUGAUCCCCAAGCUACCUGGGACUGUGAGCAAUGGGUAGAUUUUCAAGGGAAAACAGAGGGGGGGAAAAAUUUUUUUUUUUUUUUUGGGUUCUAAUUAAAGCAUUUCUAAUAAGCUGGCUUUGCCAAACCCAGUUGUUUCUGAUAUUCCUCUUGGGUGAAGUAAUCUUAAACUAAUAGACAAAAAUAUUAAAAGCGGCGAAAACCACUCAUGGCUAGAAGGGUGAUGGAGGUUCUCACCGGGGGAACUGGCCAGGAGGGGGCCUAUUGGGGGCACUAAGAAUAGGAUGCACCCAGUAGAGUGCAAAGGUGUGUUUGUGCCCGUGCACAGCAGAACAUCAUGUUUAUGGCUUUAGCAUUUGAACUGUGGGAGCGAAGAUGAGGGCUGUAAAAUCUGCUGUCCAAUUUUAUAAAUCAGCCUCAAACACCAAAAAAGUUUACAGAGAAAACGGGAAAAGAAAUUACAGUAUUUAUGGGGCUCAGAAUGGUAAGAACCCUGGGAUGGGACCUGGGACAUUUGGACUCUGCCAGCAACUCACUGUGGGACCUAAGGAAGACCCUUCCCCAAUCCUGUGCCUCAGUUUCCCCAUCUGAAAGCCAAGCACUUAACCUGGAAUGAGUCAAACCCCUUCUUCCGGCUCUCACGUGCCUAAAGGUCUGGGGAACAGCCAAACCCUGCAUCUUGGUGUUUUACCAUGUGAAGCUGGUCAUUUCCAGCCCCGUCAAUGCCUCUGGGAGGGGACCAAAUCACAUUUUCUCUGGUGCCUUUGAGUUGUUCACCCUGCUAUAAGCAACACAAGACCCUAAAUCACGACACCUCCCUGGGGUAAGCACAAGGCUCUGCUAAUAACCCUACUGCCUUUGUGCAGCCUCUCAGUUUACAGAGAGCUUUUGCUUCUAUGGCAGCCCUGAGCCUCGAGGCAGAGUGGAAACUGAGGCUCAGAGACUUGAAGCAUUUUGCUGGGCGACUCUCUCUGCUGGAGGAAGCAGUGGGCUGUGAGGCCUGGCCCUCCAGCCUCUCUAGCGUCCUCCUCCAUGCUGAGGCACCUUCACUGAUGGCCCACCGCCUACAGCACCCCACAUGGCCUCCCUCAAGUCCCCAACCACCCCACUCCGCAGAUGGCUUUUGCAAAAAUAUUUUUAAGUCAGUCUUAUCAACAAGAUGUUAGAAAUGUUAUUGGCAAGAAAUGUUUUUCUCAUUUGGGGAGACCACCCAGUGCCUUAAAGUAAGCUGUCCCAGGGCAUGAGGGGUUUCCUGGUGACGGGCGGCCGAUUUCUGUGGGCUAAUAGGAGAUCGUUAUAAGCCAGCCGGGAAUGUAAUCAGGGCGGUUCAGACACUGGAGGGGACCAGGGAACUCCACGCUGUGGGCCCAGCUCAGAGGGGAGACAAGCAAGCCAGGAACAGAAGGCUGACCCCACCCAGGGGCAGGUCUGCACUGCCGGGCCGGUGGGCGCACUGGAAAUCAGACAGGCAACGGAGGCAGAACCAGUGCAGACGCCUCCUGCCUCGGGGUUUGGGGCAGCGAUGGAAGAGGGGGUGAGUCAGGAGAGCGUGUCUUCCUGGGUCUUUCCCAAACUGACCUCUCAAGAUCUACGUUGCAGCUGGUGGUACCACCUCCUACCCAGCCUCUGAGAAACCACCCCCAUCAAUCCGACCACAAAACCUUUCUCCUUUCCGCUCGUACUGCCCUAGUCUCUUGCCAAAUUCUCACAGCAGCGUCCUGAGCAGCAACCCUUCCACACACACCCGCAGCCAGGCUGGGCUUCUGAGAACCUCCAUCCUGCCAGCUGCGGAGGCCACCACCAUCCCUGGGAUCAAGUCCAAAAGCCUCUGAGCUGCCCUCACCUUCUGUCUCUGCCACCAGACCCCCAGGCACUCCCUAGUACCUGGGUGGAAACCGAGGGCUUCCAGCUCAGCUGGACCAAGAGGCCAGGGCAGGGUGGGGGGAGGGGGAAGGCAGGGAAAGAAUGGCAGCCUGGGAGUCAGCAGACCCUGUGCCUGUUGCUCCCCGGCUACAUGGCCUGGGACAGGCCCCUGGACCUCUCUGAGCCACAGUGUUCUCUUCUGUAGAAUGGGGGCCGUAAGUUGUGCCUUCCUCUCUGGGUUGCUCGGGGGCUGGCCCUAGAAAAGCAAAAGGACCUCCACAGUUGGGUCCCACAUCCUGAUUCUGACAGUGCAGACCCAGAUGGAAUAAACUUCUGUUUUCAGGCUCCUACAAGCUGGGGGGAAGAGGCUUAAGGGUUCUUGGCCUUCUACAUGUUGGCUCUGCCCUGAGAAAACACCAGAGAAAUGGCUGGCAAGGAGCUCUGACCCAGGUCCUGCUUGGCCAGUAGAGAGGAGCGGGGGAGGCUUCUGUUCAGAGGCCCCUAGGCAGAAAGAAGGCCAUGCACUCACUGGCCCUGUGACAGAGGUGAGAACCCAGUCUCCAUGUACAUGUAAAAAUGAAGGUCAUAAUUCCUGCCCUGCUCCCUACAGCGUUACCAUGGCAGGGGUGAGCUUGAUGUCCACAGGUAUCAGUAACCACCGCAUUUAAGCAUCUCAGCAUUUAAGCAUCUCAGCAUGUCAGAGUGGCUGACAGGGCCCGACUUCACUGGACUGUUUGCUGGAGAAUAAACCGAGGGCUCAGAGAAGCAUAACUUGAACUGGGCUUUGCCUGGACCCAGGCCCCACAGCUCUGAAAACUGCACUGCAAACCAGAACUACAGUGGGAUCACCCCAUAAACUCAGAUGAAAGACAAAACAAAACCACUGUGCCACCAGAGCCCCGGGAGUAGAAUGGGGGAUGGGGUGUGGGUGGAAAUCAAAGCCUGGUCUGGGGCCCCACAGCUGGUUAGAGGUGAAGUCAAGAUUUGAACCUGGGUCUCCUAGGCUUAAGAGCUCUUUCUACACUCCCUAUCCCCACCACUCCAGAAUCACCAGAGCCCCACCUGUGGAGCCCAGGAAAGGCACAGUGUUAAUAAUAAAGGCUGUGUCCUUGGAAAGUGGCCCUGGUGGUGUUAAGAGCUUGGCUGCUAAGCAAAAAGUCAGCAGUUCGAAUCCACCAACCACUCCUUGGAAACUCUAUGGGACAGUUCUACUCCAUACUAUAGGGUCUCUAUGAGUCAGAACCAACUUGAUGGCAACAAGUUUGGUUUUGGUUUUGUCCCCGGAAAUGUUUUGCCAGUGGCAGGGGCUAGGCCCUUUUGUUUUAGAACCCUGUGCCUGGGUACAUUUUCUCAGUAAUUCUGAAUAAAGGGAAAUGCCAUUGAAUACUCCUCACGGUGUCCUCUUGAAGGCUCAUUCUUUCAUCCUGCGAGGCAUCUGCACAUUUGAAAGUUCACCGUUCUUGUUUAGGCCACUGCAAGGAGUGUGUGAGGAGCCUCUUUGUUUUGCCUGCAGCAGUGGCUCCUAAUUGCGGUAUUUCCUUUAAACGUUUUUAGAAGGAGAAAACAUGCUGCAUGCUAAUUGAGCAAAAAGUUCAUUUUUCCUCCAUCAGCCCUGAAAGGAUGAGUUUCCACGGCUGUGGGAAAGGGUGGGAGCCCUCCACAUGGCGAGCCCAGCCUCCCUCCAUCCCCAGUCCAGGCAGACUCA
This is a long non-coding RNA of Loxodonta africana (African savanna elephant), 16315 nucleotides long. RefSeq lists it as uncharacterized. The record is from RefSeq and is a predicted model, not a curated record. NCBI's taxonomy places the organism in Eukaryota, Metazoa, Chordata, Mammalia, Proboscidea, Elephantidae. The transcript has 6 exons.